GUGGAAGCGCCGUCGCUCAACGGAUAAAAGGUACCCCGGGGAUAACAGGCUGAUCUUGCCCAAGAGUCCAUAUCGACGGCAUGGUUUGGCACCUCGAUGUCGGCUCGUCGCAUCCUGGGGGUGGAGUAGCUCCCAAGGGUUGGGCUGUUCGCCCAUUAAAGCGGUACGCGAGCUGGGUUUAGAACGUCGUGAGACAGUUCGGUCCCUAUCCUCUGUGCGCGUAGGAAACUUGAGAAGGGCUGUCCCUAGUACGAGAGGACCGGGAUGGACGAACCUCUGGUGUGUCAGUUGUUCUGCCAAGAGCACCGCUGAUUAGCUACGUUCGGAAGUGAUAACCGCUGAAAGCAUCUAAGCGGGAAGCACGCUUCAAGAUGAGGUUUCCAUGGGGUUUACCCCGAGAGGCUCCCGGCUAGACUACCGGGUUGAUAGGCCAGACGUGGAAGUGCAGUAAUGCAUGUAGCUGACUGGUACUAAUAAGCCGAUAACUUGAUACA
RNAcentral lists this ribosomal RNA (494 nucleotides) under Phycicoccus sp. Its description in RNAcentral is "partial 23S ribosomal RNA". It matches the Rfam family "Bacterial large subunit ribosomal RNA", at positions 2433 to 2925 of the family's 2925-position model. The record is from RNAcentral. Lineage: Bacteria; Bacillati; Actinomycetota; Actinomycetes; Micrococcales; Intrasporangiaceae.